AUGCACGGUGUGAGUUUUGGAGUUGAAAUCACACCAGACAGCACUGAGGAAUCUGCUGCAGCGGGUUCAACUGUUACUUUAUCCUGCAGUUAUUCCUCUGCACACUCACUUCAAUGGUACCGUCAGUAUCCCGGAUCAGCUCCUCAAUUUCUUGUGCUCAUAAUAGAGAGUGUGAAAGAGACUAAGACAUCUGAUGUAGAUCCCAGGUUCUCUACUAAGCUCAGAAAAGAAAAACAAGUCACAAAAGAAAUCAAACGUGUGGAUCUGGUGAUCUCCUCAGCUGUUCAGAAAGACUCUGCUAUGUAUUAUUGUGAUCUGACGUCCACACACUGA
This is a non-coding RNA of Sinocyclocheilus anshuiensis, 333 nucleotides long. NCBI's taxonomy places the organism in Eukaryota, Metazoa, Chordata, Actinopteri, Cypriniformes, Cyprinidae. The record is from the annotation of a RefSeq genome assembly.